RNAcentral lists this long non-coding RNA (369 nucleotides) under Mytilus galloprovincialis (Mediterranean mussel). The record is from RNAcentral. Lineage: Eukaryota; Metazoa; Mollusca; Bivalvia; Mytilida; Mytilidae.
AGCAGACAUAGACAUUUGAGCUAGUAAUCAGUCAUUUUUGUAAGCAUACAACUAUUCCAAGUUGAUGAAGGCCAUCAUGUAAUGGGAGAAUCACAAGGCAAAAGGUACUUAUCCUGUCAAAGCAAAUCUUAAAGAUCAAAAUAUGUUUUGUCAGGAAAAACAAAAAAAGUCACGGAUUGAAAAUACCAGUAAAAUAACCAGCCACGGUUGUGAUGAAUUAACAAGAACAAUAUGAUUGCAGGAAUUUUUUUCUUUCAUUGUGAUGAGGUAUCUGACUAUCAUCAUGAAGCCUCGACAAUUAUGAUCGACAAUAGAGUAUGUGACUGUCACUUGAACUACUAACCAUUGUUCUUUUAGCCAGACUCAGUG